GACGAACGCUGGCGGCAUGCCUAAUACAUGCAAGUCGAGCGAACAGAUGAAGUGCUUGCACUUCUGACGUUAGCGGCGAACGGGUGAGUAACACGUAAGGAAUCUACCUAUAAGCGGGGGAUAACAUUCGGAAACGGGUGCUAAUACCGCAUAAUAUCUUCUUCCGCAUGGAAGAAGAUUGAAAGACGGCUCUGCUGUCACUUAUAGAUGACCUUGCGGUGCAUUAGUUAGUUGGUGGGGUAACGGCCUACCAAGCCGAUGAUGCAUAUCCGACGUGAGAGUGUGAGCGGCACCAUUGUGACUGGGACACGGCCCAAACUCCGACGGGAGGCAGCAGUAGGGAAUCUUCCGCAGUGGGCGAAAGCCUUACGGAGCAAUGCUGCGUCAGUGAAGAAGACCUUCGAGUCGUAAAACUCUGUUAUAAGAGAAGAACAAAUUGUAGAGUAACUUCUACAGUCUUGACGGUAUCUUAUCAAAAAGCCACGGCUAACUACGUGCCAGCCGCCGCCGUAA
RNAcentral lists this ribosomal RNA (513 nucleotides) under uncultured bacterium. Its description in RNAcentral is "partial 16S ribosomal RNA". It matches the Rfam family "Bacterial small subunit ribosomal RNA", at positions 28 to 523 of the family's 1533-position model. The record is from RNAcentral.